This 1268-nucleotide long non-coding RNA is filed under the name Homo sapiens (human). Its description in RNAcentral is "HSALNT0077515". The record is from RNAcentral. Lineage: Eukaryota; Metazoa; Chordata; Mammalia; Primates; Hominidae.
GCUCAAGCGAUUCUCUUGCCUCAGCCUCCUGAGUAGCUGAAGCUACAGGUGCCCUCAGUGUAUUGGAUGAUACCUGCCAAUACUGGAAAGGCCAUGUGACCACACACCAAGAAGCUAGCUGUCUGCCAGCCAGGAAGAGAGCCCUGACCAGUAAUCAAAUUGGCUGAAGACUUGAUCUUGGACUCCUUGUCUCCAGAAAUGGCUGCUGUAGUAUCCUAGGGGUCUACUCCAGUCCCUGGUUACCUCGAAUUUUCCAGUCCCUGGAUGUCUCACCAGUGAAGGUUGUGAAACAGCAAAAAUGGCAGCCUGCACCCUCCUCUGGGAGCUCCAUCCCAAGAAGAUGUUGGCACUUCUUAGGAAGGAGCCAUCCAUGUCUGAAGAGAAGAAAUGAUAAUUAACUUCAUCAUGUGGAAAGCUUUAGAAGGAAGUAUCUUGUCCUUCUGUCCAAACCCGCCUCCUCCUUACCACCCCCAAUAAAAAUAAAAGCCAAACAAAUAAAACAUUAGCAGUAGCUCUGAGUUUCUUCCUUUCACUUUUUCUCUCUCUUCAUGCCUUUUCUCCUCCAUUCCUUCCUUCUUUCAAAUCAUUUUUACUAGUUUAAGAGAAUAAUUCAAUCUAUAUUUAGAAAUCAGACUUAAAACUUCAAAAAUUAUACUGAAAUAGCUUCCCCUUAAAGGGUGAAACAGUCAUGAUAAAAAUAACAACCGAUAGAAUAAAAUAAUAUAAAAUUAGCUGAGUUUAUAGUUUCUUUUACACCUCCAUAAUUUAUGUGGAUUUGGAAAUACAGACAGUAUACUGAAAACUAAGAAGUUUUCUAUGAAUUAUGAGAAUUUGCAAUCCACAUAGGCUUAAGUCUAAUGUUAGAAGAUAAAACAAAUUGACCUUAAAUAACUUUCUGACAUAACCUCCCCAUUUCAUGGAUGAAAAACCCUAAAGCUCUCAUAAGUAAAGUGAUUUACUUCAGGACACAAACUAGUUGAUUUAGUUUGGAUGUUUGUCCCCUCCAAAUCUCAUGUUGAAAUGGAAUCCCCAGUGUUGGAGGUGGGGCCUGGUGGGAGGUGUUUGUGUCAUGGGGCAGAUCCAUUAUCCUUAUGAGCUGCUUGGUGCUAUCCUUGUGAUAGUGAGUGAGUUCUCAUGAAAUCUGGUUGUUUAAAAAUUUGUGGCACCUCCCCACCAGCCUUGCUCCUGCUCUUGCGGUGUGAUAUGCCUGCUGCCUCUUCACCUUACACCGUGAUUAUAAGCUUCCUGAGGCCUCACCAGAAGCAGUU